RNAcentral lists this transfer RNA (67 nucleotides) under Marmota monax (woodchuck). Its description in RNAcentral is "tRNA.Ala". Lineage: Eukaryota; Metazoa; Chordata; Mammalia; Rodentia; Sciuridae. The record is from RNAcentral.
GGUUGUGGCUCAGGGGUAGAGCACUUGCCUAGCAUGCGCGAGGCACUGGGUUCAAUCCCUGGCACCA